GGGAAAGGGAAACAGUCCAGGAAGUGAAGGUCAGAUAGCGGGUCGGGUUUUUUUUGCUCCUUUCUUGUGUAAUUUGGCUGCGAGGUGCCCCUUGCUGUGUCCUCACAGUCUUGGGAGUGACUGUCGAGUUUCUAUUCCAGCAGCGGCGUCUCCACCCGGAGCAAUUCCGGACGUCGCCGUUCUGGGUCGGAUUGACUUCGAAGCCUCAUGUUGCCUGAGCAAGAAGCCCAGCAGGGGAGGAGGAGGAAGAGGAAGGAAGGCCAGGAGUCAGGAAUGGCUGUUUCUCAGGACGGCCCUGUUCUGACUGGCCGCAUCUCAAGGACUCAGGAGGAACAGGUGACCUUCGAGGACGACGUGGCCAUCAGUUUCACUCGGGAGGAGUGGGACUGCCUGGACCCUGCUCAGAGGGCCUUGUACAAGGACGUGAUGCUAGAGACCUACAGGAACCUCAUCGCCGUGGG
This 461-nucleotide long non-coding RNA is filed under the name Sus scrofa (pig). RNAcentral's name for it is "lncRNA (ENSSSCG00060044517.1)". The record is from RNAcentral. Lineage: Eukaryota; Metazoa; Chordata; Mammalia; Artiodactyla; Suidae.